This 197-nucleotide ribosomal RNA is filed under the name uncultured bacterium. RNAcentral describes it as "partial 16S ribosomal RNA". It matches the Rfam family "Bacterial small subunit ribosomal RNA", at positions 326 to 539 of the family's 1533-position model. The record is from RNAcentral.
ACGCUCGACACCUACGAGGCAGCAGCCGGGAAUAUUGCGCAAUGGAGGAAACUCUGACGCAGUGACGCCGCGUAUAGGAAGAAGGUUUUCGGAUUGUAAACUAUUGUCGUUAGGGAAGAGAAAGGACAGUACCUAAGGAGGAAGCUCCGGCUAACUACGUUCCAGCAGCCGCGGUAAUCUGAGCGGGCUGGCAAGGC